CACAGAGUUAGCCGGCGCUUUUUCUGCAGGUACCGUCACUUUCGCUUCUUCCCUGCUAAAAGAGGUUUACAACCCGAAGGCCGUCGUCCCUCACGCGGCGUUGCUGCAUCAGGCUUGCGCCCAUUGUGCAAUAUUCCCCA
Molecule: ribosomal RNA, 140 nt
Filed under: uncultured bacterium
Lineage: Bacteria
Description: partial 16S ribosomal RNA
Source: RNAcentral